RNAcentral lists this ribosomal RNA (3112 nucleotides) under Salmonella enterica. RNAcentral's name for it is "23S ribosomal RNA". It matches the Rfam family "Bacterial large subunit ribosomal RNA". Lineage: Bacteria; Pseudomonadati; Pseudomonadota; Gammaproteobacteria; Enterobacterales; Enterobacteriaceae. The record is from RNAcentral.
GGGUUGUGAGGUUAAGCGACUAAGCGUACACGGUGGAUGCCCUGGCAGUCAGAGGCGAUGAAGGACGUGCUAAUCUGCGAAAAGCGCCGGUAAGGUGAUAUGAACCGUUAUAACCGGCGAUGUCCGAAUGGGGAAACCCAGUGUGACUCGUCACACUAUCAUUAACUGAAUCCAUAGGUUAAUGAGGCGAACCGGGGGAACUGAAACAUCUAAGUACCCCGAGGAAAAGAAAUCAACCGAGAUUCCCCCAGUAGCGGCGAGCGAACGGGGAGGAGCCCAGAGCCUGAAUCAGCAUGUGUGUUAGUGGAAGCGUCUGGAAAGGCGCGCGAUACAGGGUGACAGCCCCGUACACAAAAGCGCAUGUGCUGUGAGCUCGAUGAGUAGGGCGGGACACGUGGUAUCCUGUCUGAAUAUGGGGGGACCAUCCUCCAAGGCUAAAUACUCCUGACUGACCGAUAGUGAACCAGUACCGUGAGGGAAAGGCGAAAAGAACCCCGGCGAGGGGAGUGAAAAAGAACCUGAAACCGUGUACGUACAAGCAGUGGGAGCCCCACCACUAAGCCAGUGGUGAAAUCCGCAUACGCAUCCUUUGCUGAGGAUACGGUUAACGGAGCGAGAGCGACGUUCAACCGCAAAAGAAGCAGAGGGGGCUUAGUGGUGGGGUGACUGCGUACCUUUUGUAUAAUGGGUCAGCGACUUAUAUUCUGUAGCAAGGUUAACCGCAUAGGGGAGCCGAAGGGAAACCGAGUCUUAACCGGGCGUUAAGUUGCAGGGUAUAGACCCGAAACCCGGUGAUCUAGCCAUGGGCAGGUUGAAGGUUGGGUAACACUAACUGGAGGACCGAACCGACUAAUGUUGAAAAAUUAGCGGAUGACCUGUGGCUGGGGGUGAAAGGCCAAUCAAACCGGGAGAUAGCUGGUUCUCCCCGAAAGCUAUUUAGGUAGCGCCUCGUGAAUUCAUCUCCGGGGGUAGAGCACUGUUUCGGCCAGGGGGCCAUCCCGGCUUACCAAUCCGAUGCAAACUGCGAAUACCGGAGAAUGUUAUCACGGGAGACACACGGCGGGUGCUAACGUCCGUCGUGAAGAGGGAAACAACCCAGACCGCCAGCUAAGGUCCCAAAGUCAUGGUUAAGUGGGAAACGAUGUGGGAAGGCCCAGACAGCCAGGAUGUUGGCUUAGAAGCAGCCAUCAUUUAAAGAAAGCGUAAUAGCUCACUGGUCGAGUCGGCCUGCGCGGAAGAUGUAACGGGGCUAAACCAUGCACCGAAGCUGCGGCAGCGAACGUAUCACCCAAGACAACUUUACACAGUUGACGACUGACGGAGCGAAGCGACGUCAAAGCGUUUUACAACGUCGAGUUGGCUUAGGGAUACGUUCGUUGGGUAGGGGAGCGUUCUGUAAGCCUGUGAAGGUGGCCUGUGAGGGUUGCUGGAGGUAUCAGAAGUGCGAAUGCUGACAUAAGUAACGAUAAAGCGGGUGAAAAGCCCGCUCGCCGGAAGACCAAGGGUUCCUGUCCAACGUUAAUCGGGGCAGGGUGAGUCGACCCCUAAGGCGAGGCCGAAAGGCGUAGUCGAUGGGAAACGGGUUAAUAUUCCCGUACUUGGUGUUACUGCGAAGGGGGGACGGAGAAGGCUAUGUUAGCCGGGCGACGGUUGUCCCGGUUUAAGCGUGUAGGUGUGUGUUCCAGGUAAAUCCGGUUCACUUUAACACUGAGGCGUGAUGACGAGGCACCACGGUGCUGAAGCAACAAAUGCCCUGCUUCCAGGAAAAGCCUCUAAGCCUCAGGUAACAUCAAAUCGUACCCCAAACCGACACAGGUGGUCAGGUAGAGAAUACCAAGGCGCUUGAGAGAACUCGGGUGAAGGAACUAGGCAAAAUGGUGCCGUAACUUCGGGAGAAGGCACGCUGACACGUAGGUGAAGUGAUUUACUCAUGGAGCUGAAGUCAGUCGAAGAUACCAGCUGGCUGCAACUGUUUAUUAAAAACACAGCACUGUGCAAACACGAAAGUGGACGUAUACGGUGUGACGCCUGCCCGGUGCCGGAAGGUUAAUUGAUGGGGUCAGCGCAAGCGAAGCUCCUGAUCGAAGCCCCGGUAAACGGCGGCCGUAACUAUAACGGUCCUAAGGUAGCGAAAUUCCUUGUCGGGUAAGUUCCGACCUGCACGAAUGGCGUAAUGAUGGCCAGGCUGUCUCCACCCGGGACUCAGUGAAAUUGAACUCGCUGUGAAGAUGCAGUGUACCCGCGGCAAGACGGAAAGACCCCGUGAACCUUUACUAUAGCUUGACACUGAACAUUGAGCCUUGAUGUGCAGGAUAGGUGGGAGGCUUUGAAGCGUGGACGCCAGUCUGCGUGGAGCCGACCUUGAAAUACCACCCUUUAAUGUUUGAUGUUCUAACGUGGACCCGUAAUCCGGGUUGCGGACAGUGUCUGGUGGGUAGUUUGACUGGGGCGGUCUCCUCCUAAAGAGUAACGGAGGAGCACGAAGGUUGGCUAAUCCUGGUCGGACAUCAGGAGGUUAGUGCAAUGGCAUAAGCCAGCUUGACUGCGAGCGUGACGGCGCGAGCAGGUGCGAAAGCAGGUCAUAGUGAUCCGGUGGUUCUGAAUGGAAGGGCCAUCGCUCAACGGAUAAAAGGUACUCCGGGGAUAACAGGCUGAUACCGCCCAAGAGUUCAUAUCGACGGCGGUGUUUGGCACCUCGAUGUCGGCUCAUCACAUCCUGGGGCUGAAGUAGGUCCCAAGGGUAUGGCUGUUCGCCAUUUAAAGUGGUACGCGAGCUGGGUUUAGAACGUCGUGAGACAGUUCGGUCCCUAUCUGCCGUGGGCGCUGGAGAACUGAGGGGGGCUGCUCCUAGUACGAGAGGACCGGAGUGGACGCAUCACUGGUGUUCGGGUUGUCAUGCCAAUGGCACUGCCCGGUAGCUAAAUGCGGAAGAGAUAAGUGCUGAAAGCAUCUAAGCACGAAACUUGCCCCGAGAUGAGUUCUCCCUGAGACUUAAAGUCUCCUGAAGGAACGUUGAAGACGACGACGUUGAUAGGCCGGGUGUGUAAGCGCAGCGAUGCGUUGAGCUAACCGGUACUAAUGAACCGUGAGGCUUAACCUUACAACGCCGAAG